GAUGAACGCUAGCUACAGGCUUAACACAUGCAAGUCGAGGGGAAACGGCAUUGAGUGCUUGCACUCUUUGGACGUCGACCGGCGCACGGGUGAGUAACGCGUAUCCAACCUUCCCAUUACUGUGGGAUAACCUGCCGAAAGGCAGACUAAUACCGCAUAGUCUUCGAUGACGGCAUCAGAUUUGAAGUAAAGAUUUAUCGGUAAUGGAUGGGGAUGCGUCUGAUUAGCUUGUUGGUGGGGUAACGGCUCACCAAGGCGACGAUACAUAGCCGACCUGAGAGGGUGAUCGGCCACACUGGGACUGAGACACGGCCCAAACUCCUACGGGAGGCAGCAGUAGGGAAUCUUCCGCAAUGGGCGAAAGCCUGACGGAGCAACGCCGCGUGAGUGAAGAAGGAUUUCGGUUCGUAAAGCUCUGUUGUUAGGGAAGAAUGAUUGUGUAGUAACUAUACACAGUAGAGACGGUACCUAACCAGAAAGCCACGGCUAACUACGUGCCAGCAGCCGCGGUAAUACGUAGGUGGCAAGCGUUGUCCGGAAUUAUUGGGCGUAAAGCGCGCGCAGGUGGUUUAAUAAGUCUGAUGUGAAAGCCCACGGCUCAACCGUGGAGGGUCAUUGGAAACUGUUAAACUUGAGUGCAGGAGAGAAAAGUGGAAUUCCUAGUGUAGCGGUGAAAUGCGUAGAGAUUAGGAGGAACACCAGUGGCGAAGGCGGCUUUUUGGCCUGUAACUGACACUGAGGCGCGAAAGCGUGGGGAGCAAACAGG
Molecule: ribosomal RNA, 766 nt
Filed under: uncultured Prevotella sp.
Lineage: Bacteria; Pseudomonadati; Bacteroidota; Bacteroidia; Bacteroidales; Prevotellaceae
Description: bacterial SSU rRNA
Rfam family: Bacterial small subunit ribosomal RNA
Source: RNAcentral